RNAcentral lists this unclassified non-coding RNA (391 nucleotides) under soil metagenome. RNAcentral's name for it is "partial contains 5.8S ribosomal RNA, internal transcribed spacer 2, and large subunit ribosomal RNA". The stretch from base 1 to 122 matches the Rfam family "5.8S ribosomal RNA", at positions 35 to 154 of the family's 154-position model. The record is from RNAcentral.
GAUGAAGAACGUAGCGAAAUGCGAUACUUGGUGUGAAUUGCAGAAUCCCGUGAACCAUCGAGUCUUUGAACGCAAGUUGCGCCCGAAGCCACUAGGCCGAGGGCACGCCUGCCUGGGCGUCACACGCCGUUGCCCCCCCAUCUACUCCUUCGGGAUUGCGGGGGGGCGGAUGAUGGCCUCCUGUGCGCCUAGCCGCGCGGUUGGCAUAAAUACCAAGUCCUCGGCGACGCACGCCACGACAAUCGGUGGUUGCGAAACAUCGGUUGCCCGUCGUGUGCGUUCGUCGCGCAUCGAGGGCUCGAAAAAAUGCUCGGCUCCGGCUGGGCUUUCAACGCGACCCCAGGUCAGGCGGGGUUACCCGCUGAAUUUAAGCAUAUCAAUAAGCGGAGGA